Long non-coding RNA from Ruditapes philippinarum (Manila clam), 618 nucleotides. RefSeq lists it as uncharacterized. The transcript has 3 exons. Lineage: Eukaryota; Metazoa; Mollusca; Bivalvia; Venerida; Veneridae. The record is from RefSeq and is a predicted model, not a curated record.
CGCGCACCUAGCAGAUGCAGAUCUGUUCGACUUUUCGUCGCAGAAAUUUCUUUCUUCUAGUAAUUUAAACAGCUUAUGUGAUGUUUGACAGUGAAGCUGACUUGUUCGCUAGUUCCCCAGCUCAAGAGCCAGCCACCCCAGACACAGGUAACAGUGAUAACAGUGACUUUAAACCCCAGCUUACCGCAGGGCCAGGAUUUUGAUUGGGGGCAUUGGGGUCCAUCUUCAAGUCAGGUGUCCACCAUUCCACCAUCAACAUCAGAGCCACCAGUACCUCUUACACCGGAUGUGAUUUUCAUCAGCUCAGAUUCUGACACUGACAGUUCACAGAAACAGGUAUGAACAAGAUGAUAACUUUGCUUUUAUAUAUUUUUAAAAUUGAAAGAUAUGUAUGGUAGUGUAUACCAAUGUGGUAGAAACAUGACAAAUUGGGGCUGCCAGCAUUAAAAAUAAAACAUUUGAGUUUUAAGCCUGUUGGCUGUUGCAUGAAUAGAGCCACUUGAUGCUGGCUUAAGGAACAUUGGUGGUUCUACCCCGGUACUCUCUCAUGCUUUAAGUAAUGCCUGAUGGGGCACCUGAGGUCUUCCUCCACCAAUAAAGCUGGAAAGUUGCCAUAUA